RNAcentral lists this ribosomal RNA (469 nucleotides) under uncultured anaerobic ammonium-oxidizing bacterium. RNAcentral's name for it is "bacterial SSU rRNA". It matches the Rfam family "Bacterial small subunit ribosomal RNA", at positions 365 to 824 of the family's 1533-position model. The record is from RNAcentral.
UUCGCAAUGCCCGAAAGGGUGACGAAGCGACGCCGCGUGGGUGAGGAAGGCCUUCGGGUUGUAAAGCCCUGUCAGGAGUUAAGAAAUGUAAGUGCGCUAAUAUCGCAUUUAUUUGACGAAGGCUCCAAAGGAAGUCACGGCUAACUCUGUGCCAGCAGCCGCGGUAAUACAGAGGUGGCAAGCGUUGUUCGGAAUUAUUGGGCGUAAAGAGCACGUAGGUGGGUUUGUAAGUCAGAUGUGAAAGCCUUCUGUUCAACGGAAGAAUUGCACCUGAAACUGCGAGUCUUGAGUGUAGGAGGGGAGAAUGGAACUUCUGGUGGAGCGGUGAAAUGCGUAGAUAUCAGAAGGAACGCCGGCGGCGAAAGCGAUUCUCUGGCCUAUUACUGACACUCAGUGUGCGAAAGCUAGGGGAGCAAACGGGAUUAGAUACCCCGGUAGUCCUAGCCGUAAACGAUGGGCACUAAGUAGA